UAUUUUCGAAAUUUAUCAUCCUGCUUUAGGGUUAUUUUUGGUAAUUUGCAUCUGAGUAUUGUGGGUGUACAUCCCUUUUGAUCAACACGUGUGUGUCGGCUGCGUUCUUCAGUCUACUCAUCUAUGUCUUCUCUCUGUCUCUCUUUUAGAUUCACCCUGGCUUAGGGAUCUUUGUUCCCCUUUGUUUUCUCCCUUUAGGUUUGAAAUUGAAAUGACAUAUUGUGGGCUAUUGAAUUUUUUCCUGGGUUCUCCUUUUUUUUUUGUAUUCGAAAGUUCUUUGAUGGAAUGGAGCUCCUUCAUCUAGACUUCAUAUUCCUUCUGCUAUACUUCCAUUUUAAUGGUUUCAAAGCAAGACUAGAGAAGAUGACCGUUGAUAAUACGAUAUUUGCCGCGACAUCAGACUCUAGAAGGUCGUAACUUUUUGGAGAUUUGAGAGGGUUGCACUAGGGUGUUCUUUGGGGAUUUUGCCCUCUUCUCCUUUGUCCUCCAUCUUAGUUGAUCCUUACGGUUAAAAAAAUAAAUUUACUGAAAGUUAUUGUAGACAAAUUUCACACAUGCAUAUAUUUAUUGACUACAUUAUUCAAUUCCUUAGCAGUCGAACACAAUGAGAAUUGAGAAAGGCUCUGCGACCAAAAUUUCAAGACAUCGAUGCCUUGUUAGAUGGUAGGAUAUACUUUGUCAUUCAAGUUGGCGAUAGAACAAGUGCAACUAUUGCCAUAUGAUGUUAGAAGCAUGAUAUAAGCAACUCAUCAAGGUAAUAAUUUCUAAUAAAAUGUUUAAGUUGAUUUUUCCGGUCAAGAAUCCUAUGACCAUAUAUCGAUAGGAUAGUCUGAUUCAUGUUAUGAGUUUACUUCUUUUUAUUCUAGAAUCACCACGUCAAUGUUGUCUGAUAUACAUUGAAGUCAUAAUUCAUAUGCUCCCUACGAUGUUGUAAGAAAACAAUGUAGAUAAACUACUACUAUUUCUAUCUGAUGGAUAUUUCUGUACCUAAGUUAGACUUCAAUAGUUUUUGUUUUCUUGAGCGACACUCUGUUAGUAUGGUUCUUGACAUUAUUUUUUCAUCUAAUGUGACACUAAAUAAGAGCCUUUUUUCCCUGCAUGUCAAGUAAUUUGGGAUCAUACUCAUGCUUAUAAUGAUACUGCCUUUUAGUCACAUUGUAAGUAAAUGUUGAAAACAAUUAUUAAAUUACCUGUUCUGCAUAGGUAUUAGGUUUUUUGUUCAGACUAGCCUGAUAUUGAAUCUUAAUAUCCAUCAAAGAUGUAUUAUUUUAAAUACCAAGGGUUCAGUUUGAAGGGAAUGAAGAAGAACGGAUAUUCAUGAGAUAAAGUGUUCCAGGAACUUAAUAUAAUAUGGUAUUCAAUGAAUUUAUUUUAGAGAGUUUUUGCAACAUUUUGAUGAGGAUUUUCUUUCGUUCAAUUGAGCAUGUGAAAAAUUGAAUGCAGGAAAUAAACCUUCAUAUUGUGCGGGGAGUUGUGUUGAAAGUUAAAACUUCCUUCUACUCAAUCUACACCUGCAGUCUAAGUUGCCUCCUUUAAUCAUCUUCCCACCCUACCUUUUAAGAAAAAAAAGGGAUAAUAAUCAUAUCCUUGACUUUUAAUAACUCAUAAUACAUUUAAGAAUAGAAACAACUCUCUAUGUAAAGGAGAACAAAAUUUAAUUUCUUGAAUUGUAUCUGGAUAUAGGGAUGAAAAGAUCAUGCUUCAUCCACUUUUCUCUUCCAUAAGAUUUUAGAAAGCUAGACUAUAUGCUUUUUCAUAGAAUAAAAAGUUGAAGUGUUGUACAUGUUGAAAUUCACAAUACAUUACCAAAUAAAAUUGCUUGUAAAUCAAUCCCUGCUCCAUUAUCUAUAAAAUUGGUAAUAGUCAUACUAUGUACAGACUAUUAAAAGGCCAAGCAUGCCUGAAACAUGUCACCUUAUGAUACUUUUGGUGAUGGAAGAUGUACCAUUAUUAUUUCAAUGGUAACCUUAGUGUAACUCUUCUUCUUUGACUGGACGAAGCAAAAAUCCUGCAUGACAAGGAAAAAUAUCCUAAUGUGCUACUUUUAGAAGUAUUGCAUUUUUUACUUUGUUUAGUAAAAACAUCACCCUAAGAAUAGAGGAUAAUACAAGUUCACUAUUUUCUUAAGCUCAAAUUACAAUGAUACACGACAUGUUUGUAAGUUAUAACACCUAACUCAUAUACCGUGGGAAGCUGAACCAGUUAAUAUGUGAAGCUCACGUAUUCUUACUUAAUUCGUUUAUGUUUCAUUAAUUGUGGUCUAUUGUUGCUUAAUUUAGUUUUUACAGGCUAAAGCAGUAGGACCACCUACUGUUUCUUAACAAUUUGUAUUUUAGGACUGUUACUCAGUUAUGCCUUUAUGAAUAUGUUAGUGCUCUUAAAUUCUACGAAUGAUUGUUGUGAACUUGAGUUGGAAAUCCUUUAUUAGCUAAAUUUUAGGAAUACUUAAAUAGUCAACAGCUACCUUACAGGAAAUAGCCUUCGGUUCUAGAUUUUCUAAUGUACCUGAUGAAUGAUUAGAUAUUUCAUUUCCUACUCUAUAUGACGCAAUAAGACGGGGGAAAAAGGUGAACCUACUAGAUGAAUUUAUUAUCUCUCAUGGUUAUUGCUUUUACUUUGCAUUCACUCAUUUGUAUGGAGGCCAUAUUUCCUUGGGAUUUGGAGGAAACUAAUAACUACUUCCCACUACAGAAAUUUUACUUGAAACCAAGUUCCUAAACUCAAGCCUCUUUUGGUCUUUGGCUAAACACUUUUACUAACUAAAAGAUAUUUUCUUUUAUUUUCUGCCUCUUCCUAAAAGAAUUCAAUAUAAUGAUCAAUGUUAUCAGUAUUUACCUUUUUGCUUGAUGAAAGAGGUACAUGUCGGUAUCCUCAGUAUAGUAAUGAUCAUAUUCCCACUCUUCUUCAAUGAUUGGAUUUGGUCAUAUUUUCUUAGAUGCACUUUCGAAAUAUAGUCAGAUGUUGACAUCCUUUUUUUCUUCUGAGAUAAAGAUGCUGACUUCUAUACUUAAAGUUUAUAUUACUAUUAACGUCAGAAUUGAUUCUUGUUCACAGAGAUACCGUCCAAUAUUUUUUGAUUUUAUCCUAAUUGUAGUGCUUCAUCUUGCCUUCAAAUUCAACCUGAUUAAUGCGAUCAAGUCACAUUGAUCAAGUCAACUGCCUUGUGAUAUUUUAGAUGUCCUACUUUGAACAAAUAGAGAAAUGAUGUAUCAUGGCAAAAAUUUCAUGACAUCACCCUGCUUGUAAUUUUGGGACUUAAUGGCAACUCAAAUGCAUGGACAAGGCUUCAUAUAAUAUCCUAUUUUGGUUAUCUUGCUGCAGUAUCUUGAUGACAGGUCACGCAUUAGAGAUGCAGUUAGGAUGGCUGAUGUAAGCAUUACUUUUUAUAUUUAACCAUUGCAAUGCUUUGGCCAGAACCUAAUAUUUUUGCUGAGAUGUCUCUGCUUUCAAAUAUGACUGACAUCCACCUGGACGCUUGAAGAUUUUAAGGUUGCAAUUGCACAAGAUAUUAGCUCUUCACCAAUAUCAGAUACCAACUUAAAGGUCUAAUAUGGCUAAGGAACUGUAUACUCUGUUUACAUCGAACUUUUAUUAGAACUGAAUUUUAAGCGAAACUAAAAAAUGCACUUUCACUAUAUAAAUUUGUAUAUAUUUGUCUUCCUAUUG
Nicotiana tabacum (common tobacco) is the source of this 3666-nucleotide long non-coding RNA. RefSeq lists it as uncharacterized. The record is from RefSeq and is a predicted model, not a curated record. Lineage: Eukaryota; Viridiplantae; Streptophyta; Magnoliopsida; Solanales; Solanaceae.